Molecule: ribosomal RNA, 403 nt
Filed under: uncultured bacterium
Lineage: Bacteria
Description: partial 16S ribosomal RNA
Rfam family: Bacterial small subunit ribosomal RNA
Source: RNAcentral
AUUGAACGCUGGCGGCAGGCCUAACACAUGCAAGUCGAGCGACCGGCGGACGGGUGAGUAAUGUAUGGGGGCUGCCCGAUAGAGGGGGAUAACUACUGGAAGCGGUAGCUAAUACCGCAUACAAUUGGAUACCCCCUAUGGGAUUAGCUGGUUGGGGGGGUAAUGGCCUACCAAGGCGACGAUCCCUAGCUGGUCUGGGAGGAUGAUCAGCCACACUGGGACUGAGACACGGCCCAGACUCCUACGGAGGCAGUAGUGGGGAAUAUUGCACAAUGGGCGAAAGCCUGAUGCAGCCAUGCCGCGUGUAUGAAGAAGGCCCUAGGUUUGUAAAGCACUUUAAGUUGGGAGGCGUUACCGACAGAAUAAGCACCGGCUAACUCCGUGCCAGCAGCCGCGGUAAUAC